RNAcentral lists this ribosomal RNA (253 nucleotides) under uncultured bacterium. Its description in RNAcentral is "partial 16S ribosomal RNA". It matches the Rfam family "Bacterial small subunit ribosomal RNA", at positions 524 to 776 of the family's 1533-position model. The record is from RNAcentral.
UACGGAGGGUGCAAGCGUUGCUCGGAAUUAUUGGGCGUAAAGGGUAGGUAGGUGGUCUCAUUUGUCUGAGGUGAAAGCCUUAAGCUUAACUCAAGAAGUGCCUCGGAAACGGUGAGACUGGAGUCCUGGAGAGGGUCGUGGAAUUCCCGGUGUAGCGGUGAAAUGCGUAGAGAUCGGGAGGAACACCAGAGGCGAAGGCGGCGACCUGGACAGGCACUGACACUCAACUACGAAAGCGUGGGGAGCAAACAGG